AGUGAACGCUGGCGGUAGGCCUAACACAUGCAAGUCGAACGGCAGCACAGUAAGAGCUUGCUCUUACGGGUGGCGAGUGGCGGACGGGUGAGGAAUACAUCGGAAUCUACUUUUUCGUGGGGGAUAACGUAGGGAAACUUACGCUAAUACCGCAUACGACCUACGGGUGAAAGCAGGGGAUCUUCGGACCUUGCGCGAUUGAAUGAGCCGAUGUCGGAUUAGCUAGUUGGCGGGGUAAAGGCCCACCAAGGCGACGAUCCGUAGCUGGUCUGAGAGGAUGAUCAGCCACACUGGAACUGAGACACGGUCCAGACUCCUACGGGAGGCAGCAGUGGGGAAUAUUGGACAAUGGGCGCAAGCCUGAUCCAGCCAUACCGCGUGGGUGAAGAAGGCCUUCGUGUUGUAAAGCCCUUUUGUUGGGAAAGAAAAGCAGCAGGUUAAUACCCCGCUGUUCUGACGGUACCCAAAGAAUAAGCACCGGCUAACUUCGU
RNAcentral lists this ribosomal RNA (491 nucleotides) under uncultured bacterium. RNAcentral describes it as "partial 16S ribosomal RNA". It matches the Rfam family "Bacterial small subunit ribosomal RNA", at positions 29 to 506 of the family's 1533-position model. The record is from RNAcentral.